GUGAGUCAUCGAAUCUUUGAACGCAUAUUGCGCCUGAGGCCUCGGCCGAGGGCAUGUCUGCCUCAGCGUCGGCUUAACCCCAUCACCCACAUUACUUGUGAGUGGACUUGGCAGUCCCAGUCCGGGUCUGCCGAAAUGCAGCAGAUGUUAUCAGGACCCGCCUUUGGCGUGGCCAUUCAGUUUGGUAGGUAACCCCUGGUUGCAUGCCACUGUUGGCCAUUGUGGCUUGUUAGCAUACUGGCAGGAAACCAAGGGCCCCGAGCCCUUUCUCAUUUCGACCUGAGGUCAGGCAAGAUUACC
This 300-nucleotide unclassified non-coding RNA is filed under the name uncultured fungus. RNAcentral describes it as "sequence contains 5.8S rRNA gene, ITS2". The stretch from base 1 to 71 matches the Rfam family "5.8S ribosomal RNA", at positions 84 to 154 of the family's 154-position model. The record is from RNAcentral. Lineage: Eukaryota; Fungi.